RNAcentral lists this long non-coding RNA (6485 nucleotides) under Theobroma cacao (cacao). RNAcentral's name for it is "long non-coding RNA (TCAC_LNC002694)". Lineage: Eukaryota; Viridiplantae; Streptophyta; Magnoliopsida; Malvales; Malvaceae. The record is from RNAcentral.
AUCCCUAGUCUCCUUUGUUGCCUACAAUUCUACUUUUAGCCAUCACUUUGGAUCCAACGAAGACAAAUUGAUUUAUUUUUACAAGUAAGCACAUAUGAAAUAUGACCAUACUCUUGACGGAAAGGCAACCAUCUUGACCUGAAAACUUGGUUGUUUCUUGACUUUUACGAGACACACACGGAGAGAGAAAGUGUUAUGGUUAGAAUCGGGAUGCGUUUCAGACAACCACACUUGAAACGAAUGAAUACAUAUAUUUGGAAAGCUGAGGGCUUGUUGUAGUUUUCAGAAGUGGGUUCAGUUGAGAAACUUCAAACUUCCCUCCAUCCUCUCUCUCUCUCUCUCUCUCUCUCUACAAGGUAUAGCCUUCGGCGCACAUGCUUUGGUGCUUUCGUUUGAAACUUACAAUGGAGAUUUGAUAUAUAAGGAGGAAGUUUGAAAUUCACAGAGGUGUUUCUGUUGAUGUUUCUUGACUUGGGUUUUUGGUUUUCAAGUUAUAGAGCCUCCAGAAACACAUCAUUUGGAAGAGUCUAAGCUUCUAGAGUUGUGAACUCUUAAAUUUCUAUACAACCCCGUCUGCGUUUAUAUCAGAGUUUCCAGUCAGAUUAAGUUUUAGGAAAAUUCAAGCUGAUGUAUCAAAAGCAAAGAUUGAAGAUGUAUUAAAAGCUAUACCUAAAGGCAGCCAUUGAAAGCAUUUAUUGCACAAAGUUUUCUCUCCGAACUUUCUGUAAGUAUAAUGUCAUUGCUAACCCAUGUCCCUUGCAUGCUCACUUCUCCCAAUCUUCCUCUUCUUCUUCUGUUCUUAAUUAAUCUUUUUCCUUUCUUAAUUCUGUCCUUUAAUUCUCUUAUUGGUCAUUGUUGCAAGUUAAAGCUAAGCUAAUUCUAAUGCUAUCAUCGAGCCACCAGAUUAGAACUUUGUCGGCCUGCAAACAUCUGCAAGUUGCAGUUUCCAUCAUACUUCUUCUUCGAUCUUUUUUCUGAUUCUUUAAACAGAAGAAAACUGUUAUUUUGUUUUUCUUUUUUGUUCCUUUCGAUGUCUAGCGGGUCUAGAUCAUGUCGGUUAAAAAAUGUUCUUUGUGACAAACAGGAUCCAAGAAUAAGUCCAGAAUUCUUCAAGCCUCAAGUGGAGAAGCAACAGAGCUGGACAGAACCAUACACAACAUAUCCUUUAAGAGAGUACUACCUAUACGCAACGUUUUGUUUAUUGAAGGUUCUCUUUUGAAUCUGCAAACAUAAAACACACCGUUUUAUUUAUGUAAAGUUUGAAAUUCAGUUAGUGUAGAUAGUUAGUUGUAUAAAUUAGAAUAAUUAGUUUUUUUGCUUUCUGUCAAUUGCUCAUUGCCCUAUGUAUAUAAGACAAGGGACAAACUAUCCUUUGUGGGAAAUUUCAUUCUGAAACAGAUCAGAAUUCUUUUCAACCGCCUUAGCAUUUUCUUCCCAUUUUCAUAUUCUGUCUUGGUACCAGAGCAGGUAGGACUGAGGACCAGACGAAUAGGGCUUUGACAGCAAAUUUUUUUUUGGAGUGGUGGUUUUAAUAGAACAGUGAGUAUACUGGUUAUCCUUUCAUCCUUUAUUCUUUAGCUUUCAUUUACUUGCCUAUUAGCUGAGAAAAUGUUUGAAUCAAGUGAAUCAACCACUAGAAACACUGCACCUAAACCACAGCUCACAUCACAGGUUUCACAAGCUAAUGAUCCCCAAUCACCAUAUUACCUUCAUCACACUGACCACCUUGGUUCAGUGGUUGUAAACCCCAAACUCACCACAAACAACUAUGUUGCAUGGAGCCGAUCUUUCUUACUAACCUUGUCAAUCAAAAACAAGGCUGGAUUCAUAAAUGGCUCCAUUCCCAAGCCUUCAAUCACUAAUGAUCUAUAUCCUAUCUGGAACAGAUGCAAUAACCUCAAAGUAUCCUGGUUAUUAGAUUCUAUCUCCCAACCAAUAGCCUCUACCAUCUUCUUUAUGGAAUCUGCUGCUGAAAUUUGGAAUACCCUGAAACUGAACUAUGCUCAACCUGAUGAUACCCGUGUUUGUAAUCUUCAAUACACACUUGGAAGUGUAAUUCAAGGAGUCAAAACAGUAGAUGCCUAUUUUAUAGAGCUAAAAUGCAUAUGGGAAGAACUAAGAAACUAUAGGCCCUUGCCACAUUGCGAAUGUGAAAAAUGCAAUGCCAGUUGCUUCAAGAAAUUCUCUAAUCAAUACCAAAAGGACAUGGUAUUUAGGUUCCUCAAUGGUUUGAAUGAAUCCUUCUUAACCAUUAGGUCCCAAAUCAUUCUAAUGGACCCAAUACCAACACUAGACAAGGUUUAUAGCAUGGUACUGAGAGAAGAAUCAUAGAGAAAUAUGUUCCUGCAAUCCCAACCCUUCCUUGAGUCUUCAGCAAUGUUAGGUACUACUGAUGUAAAGAGAAAGCCAAGGAAGGAUCUUACUUGUACUCACUGUGGGAAGAAAGGACAUGUAAAGGAGAAGUGUUAUAAGAUAAUUGGUUUUCUAGAGGAUUUUAAAUUCACUAAAGGGAAGCCUCAUGUGAAGAAAGGGGCAGCUGUAAACAGUUUUACUACAGCAGUUGAACCACAGCCAGAUGACAAUCAAGCAAAUCAUGUGGAGGAGAUAGGAGGCUCUAGUUCCAUGUCACAGAUGACUAUGCUUAAGCAGCAAGUUAACAAGUUAAUGGAUCUCUUAAAUGAGAAUGGUUUAAUUAGCAAUGAUGGUAAGAGCGCCCCUGCAAACACUUAACCCAACAAACACUCACUUGUUAAUUCUGCCUUUGCAGGUAUAGUCUCUAAUUACCCUUGCUUCAAUACACAUAAUAAUUUGCCAUUUGAAUUCAAGCAUGUUAACACUAUCAUGAUUAAGCAUGGACAUUGGAUCAUGGACUCAAGUGCAACAGAUCAUAUAGCCUAUUCCUUAGAUAAUUUUCUUCAAGCCAACCCUGUAGAGAACUAUUUUGUUCAACUGCCAAAUGAUAGAAGAACAUUAGUUUCCCAUAUAGGCACAGUUAAAGUAAACUCUUCAUUGAUUCUAUAUGAUGUCCUGUGUGUACCAAGCUUUAAAUUCAAUAUAAUAUCAAAAGUAAACUUACCUGUAGCAAGAAAAACUAUGUGCUGUUUAUCGACUCACAUUGUAUUAUCCAGGAUACCCUCUCUUGGACAGUGAUUGGGGUUGUUAGGGCUACUUCAGGGUUAUAUCUUAUGCAAGACAGUGAGCAGGAUAUGUCUAGAUUUUGUUUUGACAAAGUUGUAAAGUUUCCUUCAAUUUUCUCUAUCGAUUCUUGUAAACCAGAAAACAAAAUCAAAGGUUUUAAUAUUUGGCACUUUAGGUUAGGCCAUGCACCUUUAGAAUGGAUUAAUGUGAUCCACCAACAUUGUCCAGUUGUUGAUUGUUCAAAUGAAUUAAUAUGUGAGAUCUGCCCUUUGGCAAAGCAAAGAAAGCUUUCUUUUCCUCUUCAUAUUCAAAGUACAAAUGCUAUUUUUCAAUUAAUUCAUGCUGACAUUUGGGGACCUUGUGAGGUUUCAACUUUAUCAGAACAAAGAUAUUUUUUAACUAUUGUGUAUGACUUUUCUUGAUUCACUUGGGUAUUCUUAAUGAGAAACAAGUCAGAAGUCUCAACUAUUAUUCCUUCUUUUGAUACAUAUGUACAAAAAUAGUUUAAUUGCUCAAUUAAAUGCAUAAGAUCAAAUAAUGGGAAUGAGUUUAGACUUACUGAUUUUUUCACCAAAACUGGCAUAGUUCAUUAGCUGUCCUAUGUAGGUAACCCUCAGUAGAAUGGUGUUGUUGAAAGAAAACACCAACACAUUCUGAUGGUUGCAAGAGCCUUAAUACAUCAGUCAAGUAUCCCUCUUUAUUUCUGGGGAGAUGCAGUCCUCACUGCAGUUCACAUAAUUAAUAGGGUACCUAGCAAAAUAAUUCACAAUAAGUCACCAUUUGAAUUGUUACAUGGAAAGCUACCAUCAUAUGACCAUCUCAAAGUUUUUGGAUGUUUAUGUUUUGUUUCCACCUUAACACAAAAUAGAAAGAAGUUGGACCCGAUAGCAAGCAAAUGUAUUUUUUUAGGCUAUCCAAAUAAUGUAAAAGGGUAUAAGGUAUAUGAUCUUUGUGAACAAGAGGUCCUAAUAUCAAGGGAUAUUGUUUUUCAUGAGCAUGUGUUUCCAUUUCAUUCAUCAAGCAAUAACAUGCAGUCUGAUGCAUUUUAUCAAACACAUAGUAUGCAUGAUGAAUACAUGGAAGAUUUUGAUGCUAAUUGUCCAUAUCAGCCUUACCAACAGCACACAACACCUGAAUUAUGUUCUCUUGAGCCUUCUUCAUCAUCUGAAACAUUUUCUUCAUUGAAUUCAAGUGACAUUUUCCUCAAUCCACCCUUAAACGACAGCAUAUCACAAACUGUAGACAGUUUUAAUGUUGAUAUGAGUACUUCUCAAGAAGCAGUAGCACCAGCCAGAAGAAGUACAAGACAAAAACAACCUCCUAAGUACCUUGAUGCAUAUUAUGUUGACAUACCUUCACAAUCUAAUUCUAUUACCCUUCAUCCAAUAACCAAGCACCUAUCAACUAAAUAACUCCCACCUGCACAUAAGGCAUUUACUAUUACUUUGUCCCAUAUUCAUGAGCCAAAUUCUUACCAUCAAGCUAUAAACUAUUCUCAUUGGAGAGAAGCAAUGGACCUAGAACUGAAAGCUUUGCAAGACAAUGGUACAUGGACCAUAGAACCUCUACCUUCAAAUUCACAUGUAAUUGGCUGCAAGUGGGUAUACAAGGUUAAAAUGAAGGCAAAUGGUGAAAUUGAAAGAUAUAAGGCAAGAUUGGUUGCUAAAGGGUACAACCAAGUUGCAAGAUUUGAUUACCAAGAGAUUUUUAGUACUGUAGCAAAACAGUCCACCAUUAGAGUGUUCUUUGCUCUAGCUGCUACAAAUAGUUGGUCUUUAUCACAAUUAGAUAUUAAUAAUGCCUUCCUUAAUGGUGAUCUAGAUGAAGCAAUAUAUAUGGAGAUACCACAAGGUUAUGCUGUCCAGGGGGAGUGUCCAAAAGGAUCCAAACUUGUUUGCAAACUAUACAAAUCCUUAUAUGGUUUAAAGCAAGCUUCCAGACGGUGGAAUGCCAAACUUACUGCUUCACUUUUGCAAUUUGGAUUCACUCAAUCAUCAACAAAUCAUUCUUUAUUUACUAUGAAGACUCCUAUUGGAAAUUUCGUUGCUCUUCUCGUGUAUGUAGAUGACAUGCUCAUUGGGAGUACAUUUAUUAAUGCUGCAUCAGAAGUGAAAGAGUUUUUAAACUCAAAAUUCAAGCUCAAGGAUCUUGGAGAUGUCAAAUACUUCCUUGGACUUGAAAUCAUUGAUAUACCAAAAGAAAUCUCUAUAAGUCAGAGAAAGUACACUUUAGAUCUCCUUGAAGAACAAGGGAUGUUGGGAGCUCAACCUACAAGCACUCCCAUUGACUACAAUCAUAAAUUGCAGAAAGCACAAGAUGGAGAAGAAUUAUUGAAGGAUCCAACAUGUUACAGACAAUUUAUAGACAAACUGCUAUAUCUUACUUUUAGCAAGCCUGAUAUAUCUUAUGCAGUGCAAACAUUAUCACAGUUCAUGGACAGACCUAGUCAGAUGCAUUUGAUGGCAGCUCAUAGAAUAUUAAAGUAUUUGAAAAAUGCUGUUGGGCAAGGAAUUCUAAUGAAAAGAAUAUCAAAUCUCAAGAUCACAGCUUACUCAGACAGUGAUUGGGCUGGAUGUCCUCAUAGUAGGAGAUCAAUCAUAGGAUAUUGUGUGUUUAUUGGAGACACUCUUGUCAGCUGGAAAUCCAAAAAGCAAGCUGUUGUUGCUCGCAGUUCUGCUGAAGCAAAGUAUCGUUCCAUGGCAUCCACCUGUUGUGAAUUAAUGUGGCUGAAGCACCUGCUGACUGAUUUUAAGAUAGACCAUGAUGAUCCUAUAGACUUGUAUUCAGAUAGUCAAUUUGCCAUUCAUAUCAGCAAGAAUCCUGUGUACCAUGAACGAACAAAACACAUCGAGAUGGAUUGUCACUUCAUCCGAGAAAAGGUGUUAGCAGGUAUAAUUAAGCCUCUUUACAUAUCCACUGAUCUGCAAGCAGCUGAUAUUUUUACCAAGGCUUUGUUACCAAAGCAAUUUUAUAAGCUACUAGGCAAGUUGAGUGUUCAUGAUAUUCACACCUCCUCUUGAGGGGGAAUGACAAACAGGAUCUAAGAAUAAGUCCAGAAUUCUUCAAGGCUCAAGUGGAGAAGCAACAGAGCUGGACAGAACUAUACACAACCUAUCCUUUAAGAGAGUACUACCUGUACGCAGCGUUUUGUUUAUUAAAGGUUCUCUUUUGAAUCUGCACACAUAAAACACACCGUUUCAUUUAUGUAAAGUUUAAAAUUCAGUUAGUGUAGAUAGUUAGUUGUAUAAAUUAGGAUAAUUAGUUUUUCUAUUUUCUGUUAAUUGCUCAUUGCCCUAUGUAUAUAAGACAAGGGAUAAACUAUCCUUCGUGAGGAAUUUCAUUCUAAA